AACGCAAUUGCGCCCUCUCGGUCGCUUCCAAUUGGGGGUUGACUCAUAGGGGGUACAUCUGUUCGAGGGUCAUUUGAAUCUCUCAAAGGGUUUGUGGUUCAAUGCACACACACCCUUUGGAUUUUGGGUCUUGCCGUGAAAUCCACCUCGGCUCACCUUGAAAGCAUUAGCAAGCUUCCAAAGUCUUUUUUUGAUGAGGGCGUUCUAAAUUGAUCAAGCCUUAAAAUAUAAGGGUCACUGGUCUGUGUAGCCAGUGAAAAGACGUCUAAACAUCAUAAAAGUGACUUUUUUGGUCCUGAAGCUGGCUUCCAAUCAUCCUUAUAGGAUGGGCAUUGAGCUCCUUCAAUGUAUCAAUGACCUCGAAUCAGAUGAGAAUACCCGCUGAACUUAA
Molecule: unclassified non-coding RNA, 391 nt
Filed under: uncultured Cantharellales
Lineage: Eukaryota; Fungi; Basidiomycota; Agaricomycetes; Cantharellales
Description: sequence contains ITS2
Source: RNAcentral